Molecule: ribosomal RNA, 449 nt
Filed under: uncultured soil bacterium
Lineage: Bacteria
Description: bacterial SSU rRNA
Rfam family: Bacterial small subunit ribosomal RNA
Source: RNAcentral
AGAACGAACGCUGGCGGCAUGCCUAAUACAUGCAGGUCGAACGAACUCUUCGGAGUUAGUGGCGCACGGGUGCGUAACGCGUGGGAAUCUGCCCCUUGGUUCGGAAUAACAGUUGGAAACGACUGCUAAUACCGGAUGAUGACGAAAGUCCAAAGAUUUAUCGCCAAGGGAUGAGCCCGCGUAGGAUUAGCUAGUUGGUGAGGUAAAGGCUCACCAAGGCAACGAUCCUUAGCUGGUCUGAGAGGAUGAUCAGCCACACUGGGACUGAGACACGGCCCAGACUCCUACGGGAGGCAGCAGUAGGGAAUAUUGGACAAUGGGCGAAAGCCUGAUCCAGCAAUGCCGCGUGAGUGAUGAAGGCCUUAGGGUUGUAAAGCUCUUUUACCCGAGAUGAUAAUGACAGUAUCGGAGAAUAAGCCCCGGACUAAACGUCCGUAGCCAGCAGCCGC